UACGGGGGGGGCAAGCGUUGUUCGGAAUUACUGGGCGUAAAGGGCUCGUAGGUGGCCAACUAAGUCAGACGUGAAAUCCCUCGGCUUAACCGGGGAACUGCGUCUGAUACUGGAUGGCUUGAGUUUGGGAGAGGGACGCGGAAUUCCAGGUGUAGCGGUGAAAUUCGUAGAUAUCGGGAGGAACACCGGUGGCGAAGGCGGCGACCUGGGUAGAUACUGACGCUGAGGUGCGAAAGCGUGGGGAGCAAACAGG
RNAcentral lists this ribosomal RNA (253 nucleotides) under uncultured bacterium. RNAcentral's name for it is "partial 16S ribosomal RNA". It matches the Rfam family "Bacterial small subunit ribosomal RNA", at positions 524 to 776 of the family's 1533-position model. The record is from RNAcentral.